UAUCACAUCUAGAUUAACAUCCAAGAAACAUCCAGUUCAUAUAGACUGACUCUUGUUCUGCAAAUCAAGAGUGAUUCAUGUUCUACCUACGGAAAUAACAAAACAAUCUACACACCUAGAAGGGCUUGGAAUUUGCUCGACUUCAACUGCUGCAUCUAAUAGCUCACAAAAAAUACCAACUCUAUUAGAUCUUUUAUAUAAUACAGCCAGGCAGAACUCUCCUACAUCCUAACACCAGAAGUAUACUCACAUAAAUAAAAGAGCCUUUUCACAACAUUUAGCCAAACUGCACCAGAAGCCAUACUUUUACCGUUCAACUAAUCCACGUCAAAAAUAGGAAAAGAUGUAAACCUAGCAUAUCAAAGAAAUUCUCCACAUUCAAAUCAACUUUCAGAAACUGAAAAAGAAAAA
This 411-nucleotide unclassified non-coding RNA is filed under the name Hevea brasiliensis (rubber tree). The record is from RNAcentral. Lineage: Eukaryota; Viridiplantae; Streptophyta; Magnoliopsida; Malpighiales; Euphorbiaceae.